GGAAAGAAGGAGGCAGAGAGGAAUGAGUCAAAGGUAGACGUGGGGAGGUUAAAGUCGCCCAGAACUGUGAGAGGUGAGCCGUCCUCAGGAAAGGAGCUUAUCAAGGCAUCAAGCUCAUUGAUGAACUCUCCGAGGGAACCUGGAGGGCGAUAAAUGAUAAGGAUGUUAAGCUUGAAAGGGCUGGUAACUGUGACAGCAUGGAAUUCAAAGGAGGCGAUAGACAGAUGGGUAAGGGGAGAAAGAGAGAAAGACCACUUGGGAGAGAUGAGGAUCCCGGUGCCACCACCCCGCUGACCAGAAGCUCUCGGGGUGUGCGAGAACACGUGGGCGGACGAGGAGAGAGCAGUAGGAGUAGCAGUGUUAUCUGUGGUGAUCCAUGUUUCCGUCAGUGCCAAGAAGUCAAGGGACUGGAGGGAGGCAUAGGCUGAGAUGAACUCUGCCUUGUUGGCCGCAGAUCGGCAGUUCCAGAGGCUACCGGAGACCUGGAACUCCACGUGGGUCGUACGCGCUGGGACCACCAGAUUAGGGUGGUCGCGGCCACGCGGUGUGGAGCGUUUGUAUGGUCUGUGCAGAGAGGAGAGAACAGGGAUAGACAGACACAUAGUUGACGGGCUACAGAAAAGGCUACGCUAAUGCAAGGAGAUUGGAAUGACAAGUGGACUACACGUCUCGAAUGUUCAGAAAGUUAAGCUUGCGUAGCAAGAAUCUUAUUGACUAAAAUGAUUAAAAUGAUACAGUACUGCUAAAGUAGGCUAGCUGGCAGUAGCUGCGUUGUUGACACUACACUAAUCAUUUAUUUCAGCUUUUAUUUCUUUCAUCAUUCCCAGGGGGUCAGAGGUUUACAUGCACUCAAUUACUAUUUGGUAGCAUUGCCUUUAAAUUGUUUAACUUGGGUCAAAUGUUUCAGGUAGCCUUCCGCAAACUUACCACAAUAAGUUGGGUGAAUUUUGGCCCAUUCCUCCUGACAGAGCUGGUGUAACUGAGUCAGGUUUGUAGGCCUCCUUGCUCGCACACGCCUUUUCAGUUCUGCCCACAAAUUUUAUAUAGGAUUGAGGGCAGGGCUUUGUGAUGGCCACUCCAAUAUAUGCACCCAUCCCGUUAGCGGGAUCAUUUUCGUCAACAUCAGCUGAAUUGCAGAGCGCCAAAUUCAAAUUAAAUUACUAAAAAUAUUUAAUUUUCAUGAAAUCACAAGUGCAGUAUAGCAAAACACAGCUUUUAAUAAAGCUUUUCGGCGAAAGCAUACCAAGCGUUUAUGUAAGGACAUCUUUCUCAGUAGAUAAAAUAUUAUAAACAGCUAGCAGCCAAGUAGAUUUGUCACAAAAGUCAGAAAAGCAAUAAAAUGAAUCGCUUACCUUUGAUCUUUGGAUGUUUAAACUCACGAGACUCCCAGUUACACAAUAAAUGUUCAUUUUGUUCCAUAAAGAUUAUUUUUAUAUCCAAAAUAACUCCAUUUGGUUGCCGCGUCAUGUUCAGAAACCCACAGUCGACUGAAGCCAGUUCGAUCACCUGCUCCAGGUGGUUGGAGCCAGGAUCACCCGGGUGGAUACCAACUACCGGGAGUCCAUCAGCCCAGUUUAACACCUGGCGAUUUGUCUCCGAUUCUUGGCGACAGGGGACUCCUACAUGACCAUAGGGUUCAGCUUCUGAGUUGGACGGUCCACUGUGACAGGCAUUGUCCCCUCUGUGGCACAAGCCAUUUGGAACUGUCUGGUUGGUGAAUACAUGCCUGUCCCCAAGGAGGAAGACUGGAGGGCCAUCGCUGCCGAGUUCCUGGAGAGGUGGAAUUUCCCCAACUGUCUUGGCUCCAUUGACAGGAAACAUGUAGUAAUCCAGGCUCCACCGUGCUCAGCUUCGCAAUUCUACAACUACAAGGGUACAUAUUCAGUUGUACUCUUGGCUGUAGUAGAUGCCAUCUACUGUUUCCCCGUUGUCGAUGUUAGUGCUUACGGCAAGGGAAGUGAUGGCGGGACCCUCCGGGUGCCACUUCAGGAUGGCACCCUGGAGAUUUCACCACCUGCAUCACUCACUGGGGCUAAAGACCUGGGGCCUGUUCCCCAGGUCUUCGUCGGCGAUGAGGCCUUCCCUUUAAGACCCAACCUCAUGAGGCCCUACGCUGGACGCCACCUGCCAUUGCCAAAGCCUGUAAGGAUCUUUAACAAAUGACUGUCCAGGGCGAGGUUUGUUGUUGAAUGCGCCUUUGGGAUUCUGGCAGCCCGGUGGAGAAUGUAUCGGAGAGUGCUUGGUCUCAGCCCCUCAAAUGUCGAUUGCCUGCCUGAAUGCAUCAUGUGUUCUCCACAACUACCUGCGGAGGUCAGUCCAGGAUCCGCUCUGGAUGGAGAUGGGCACGCCAAAUGGUCACCUUCCUGAUGUCACCAGGGCAGGUGCCAACAACACCCCCAGACAGUCCAGGAUCCGCUCUGGAUGGAGAUGGGCACGCCAAAUGGUCACCUUCCUGAUGUCACCAGGGCAGGUGCCAACAACACCCCCAGACAGGCACUCCAGGUGAGGGAGAAGCUGACCACCUACUUCUCAUCGCCAGCAGGUGAAGUCCCAUGGCAGUAUGCCGUGGAGUGAAACGGCUCUUUUAAGAGCCCCAUAACGCAAAGGUUAUUUUAAGAACCAUCCACUGUUGUCCAUAAAAUUGCAUUUUUUUUCCCUAAAAUUACUUCAUGUAUCAUUCUCUUCAUUUGGAAGCUAUAUUUAAGUGACAUUUGGGAGUAAAGACCACACCUUAACCCCUUCCCUGUCCCAUUAACGUCAGUAUACUUUGAAAAGCAGCUGAUACAUUUUAACCCUUGCUGCUUUUCUUUGCUGGGGCAGCCUGUUCAGUGUUGGCACCAGGCUUAUGGCAAAGAGGGUCUCUUCAUCCUCCUUCCUGUGAGCAUCAGAUUGGGCUGCAUCCCUCUCGACAGCUUGGAGGAGCCUCUGCUGAAAUUAGUUGAGUGGCUCUGGGGGCUGGUACCUCCGAUGACACCUGGUGUGACGUUGUUCCUCUUCGUUUCUCUCUGUUUCUCUCCACGGCCACAUCCUGUUCAACGAGAUCCUCAGUGGUCACUUCCGUGAGGUUCAUAAUAAGGUGGUCCUAGAUCCAGAGGUGCUUCCUCCAUUUCAUCAUCUUCCAUGGCUGCACCGGUGGUGGUCAUACUUGUGGAUGAUGUAGAUGUUGUAGAGGGUCUCGCUGCACCGGUGGAGGCGAUGGUCGCACUUGUAGAUGACAUUGAGGGUCUUGGUGCACCGGUGGCGACAACACUUGUGGAUGACGUAGUAGAGGGUCUGGCUUUAAUAUUGCCACUCGUUGCCAUAGGCACAAUAAAUGGACCCAGAAAAGAAAAUGUGGCAGAAGCGCCAAGGCUGCUGGCCUGAAGCGGCUGACCCAGACCUCUGCCCUUCUCUCUCUGUCACUGAGUCCUCUCCACUUCCUCCUAAAAUCUUCUUCUACACAGAGAUAAGCCAAACCAUUACCUAGGAUAACUAUAGUUAUUAGAUAGCUAUCAUGAACAUGUCACCUACUGUACACUCAGGCACACGGUUAUCUGACCAAAUUAUCAGGGGUACAGUAUAGAGGUCGACCGAUUAAUCGGAAUGGCCGAUUAAUUAGGGCCGAUUUUUCAAGUGUUCAUAACGAUCGGAAAUCAGUAUUUUUGGGCGCCGAUUUUUAUUUUAUAAAAUAAAAUUUGAUACCUUUUUAUUUAACUAGGCAAGUCAGUUAAGAACACAUUCUUAUUUUCAAUGACUGCCUAGGACCUGUGGGUUAACUGCCAGAUUUUCACCUUGUCAGCUCAGGGGUUUCAAUCUUGCAACCGCACAGUUAACUAGUCCAACGCUCUAACCAUUGCACUCCACGAGUAGCCUGCCUGUUACGCAAAUGCAGUAGAAGCCAAGGUAAAUUGCUAGCUAGCAUUAAACUUAUCUUAUAAAAAACAAUCCAUCAUAAUCACUAGUUAUAACUACUAAUCCAGUUUAGCAGGCAAUAUUAACUAGGUGAAAUUGUAUCAUUUCUCUUGCAUUCAUUACAUGCAGAGUCAGGGUAUAUGCAACAGUUUGGGUUGCCUGGCUCAUUGCGAACUAAUUUGCCAGAAUUUUACGGAAUUAUGACAUGCAUCGAAGGUUGUGCAAUGUAACAAGAAUAUUUAGACUUAGGGAUGCCACCCGUUAGAUAAAAUACCGAACGGUUCUGUAUUUCACUGAAAUAAUAAACGUUUUGUUUUCGAAACGAUAGUUUCCGGAUUCGAUCAUAUUAAUAACCAAAGGCUCGUAUUUCUGUGUGUUAUUAUGUUAUAUUUGAUAGAGCAGUCGGACUGAGUAGCAGCAGGCCCGUAAUCAUUUAUUCAAACAGCACUUCCGUGCGUUUUGCCAGCAGCUCUUCGCAAGCACGGCGCUGUUUAUGACUUCAAGCCUAUCAGCCUAAUGGCUGGUGUAACUAAUGUGAAAUGGCUAACUAGUUCGCUGGGUGUACGCUAAUACUGUUUCAAACGUCACUCGCUUUUAGAUUUGGAGUAGUUAUUCCCCUUGCGCUGCAAGAGCCGUGGCUUUUGUGGAGCGAUGGGUAACGAUGCUUUGAGUGUGGCUGUUGUCGAUGUGUUCCUGGUUCGAGCCCAGGUAGGGGCGAGGCGGGGGACGGAAGCUAUACUGUUACACUGGCAAUAAUAUAGUGCCUAUAAGAACAUCCAAUAGUCAAAGGUAUAUGAAAUACAAAUGGUAUACAGAGAAAUAGUCUAAAACCUCUUACCUUGGAAUAUUGAAGUCUCAUGUUAAAAGGAACCACCAACUUUCAUAUGUUCUCAUGUUCUGAGCAAGGAACUUAAACAUUAGCUUUUUUACGUGGCACAUAUUGUACAUGGCACGUUUUUACAUGGCACAUAUUACUUUCUUCUUCAACACUUUGUUUUUGCAUUAUUUAAACCAAAUUGAACAUGUUUCAUUAUUUAUUUGAGGCUAAAUUGAUUUUAUUGAUGUUUUAUAUUAAGUUAAAAUAAGUUAACUCAGUAUUGUUGUAAUUGUCAUUAUUACAAAUGUUUAAAUAAUCGUCCGAUUAAUCGGUAUCUGCCUUUUUGGUCCUCCAAUAAUCGGUAUCUGCGUUGAAAAAUCAAAUCAUAAUCGGUCGACCUCUAGUACAGUAGUAUCUACCAUUUCUAUUAUUAAUUACCUGACAUUCACACUCUUUCAAACAUAAUUAUUUGGUAAGUUAUCAGGCGUAGUAACUAGAAUAAUUUAUGACUUUCUUUCACACACCUCAUUGGCUAGGUUAGCAAGCUACAUUAGCUAGCUAGCUAACCACAUCUAGCACAAGAUCACUACUUUACUGACCUGCAAAUCCUACUAUUGUGGACACUUGUCUCAAAGCAGUAUUUUUUUGUGUUUAUGUCCCUGUAGGUGUCAGUAGUUGUGUCAAAGACAUGGUUUUGAGAAUACUGUGAAAAUGAUUUUCUUCUCAAUGUGUCCAACCGCAUGCGACCAGCUGCAAAAGAUACAUGCAUCAGUAUAGUUGCCUAGCUGCGCUACUGCUGUUAUGCAGCAGUGAUGCAAAAACACAGUCGGUGUGUUCGAAGCGUGAGGGUUUACGGCCGAGGGCUGUCUACUUGAUUUUGAAACGCAGCCCUGGAUUCGACGGGGAUUCUCCCGAGGGAAAGUGGCUAGUGCGAGGGCUAAGGGGUUCAAAUGUAAUGUGAUUGGAUUCCAGCCCAAUUCGGGAUCUCGGGCGUCUUUUUUUAACUUAUAUAUAUAUAUAUAUUUAUUUUUUAUUAACAAAAAUCAACAAACAAGAGGAAUAGUCACAUGCAAACAAGCAUACAUAAACGUUUUAUAUUGCCAGGAAUCCUAAACAAACAAAUCAUAUUCAUUAAUAAUACACGUUUUAAUUGCCUUUUUGUUUUUCAUUUUAGUUAAUGAAGUAGUGCCAUAUUGUUUAAAUUCAUUUUACAAAGUAAAAAAAUGCUAGGUUUGGAAUUUGAGAAUUUGCAUUUGUGAAUAUAAAAUGUACCUAGUAUUAUUAGCAAUUGAAUUAAAUGUAUCUUUAUUAAUGUCAAUAUUUCUGAAAAAAUCAUUUCAAAACCAUUAACUUGUACAACCGGUCCUGUAUGUAAUAAAGUUGUGUGUGUCAAUCCAAAAAAAUGAUACUAUAAAUACUGGUAAAAACUCACAAUUAUAGUCAACAUUCAGCUUGAAUCUUUCCAAAACAUGUUUCACAGGAUAAAUUCUACGUAACAUUUUACAUGAAACCUCUACCUUGUUACUGAUACAUUAUUUUGUUAGCAAUUUUCCAUGCUUUCCUACGUUGUAUAUCACCAUAGAUAUUCUACCCAAUAAGUCCUGCUGAGGGAAGUGUAUCACAAACAAUAUUCCUAAUCUGUUUAUUACUACAUUUCUCUGAGGAUUUUAAUAUUGCCAAUUAAUGUAUUUUCAUGUAACGCUAUUACUUCAACCACACAGGAAUAAACAUUUAAAAAAUACAACUCCCACGUGGAAUUGAAUCAAAAACAACAUUCUCUAGUAAAUUCUUAUUCAUUUUCCAGUAACCUAUACUAACUUUUUUUGUUGACAAACCAUUCAUAUUUAUCUUUAUCGAAAUCCCUUUGUGGUCUGUCAAAAUCGAUGGUUCAAUUGAGACUGUAUCAACCUUGUCAGCCAUAAAUCAAUAUGGGAUUGUAUAGAUACAUCUUUGGUUCUCCAUGUAAACAUAUUCUUAUCUGGGUUCUUAUGUCUCUACAUAUAUAGAACACCUAACCAUAGACAUAUAUUCCUUAUCUCACAAACAGAUGGCCUCCUAAGGAUAGCAAUUAUAUCUAGAUUAUCAUGUAAUAUUGUUAUUAAAAUAUCCACCCCGUUUUACUUUGGCCAAUGGAAAUGUAGACAUUUUACUUCCUUUCCUCUCGAUGUCUCUAAAUAAAAUAGUUACUUGACUUGUUAUUGGUAGCAUAAGUAUUAACAACAAGGAAUUGAAUGUGGUUGACAUCUAUCAAUAGCACAAUCCAUCUCCCUGUAUUACCUGCUUCAUGACCUUUAAAGUUGCCUUUUAAAAUUGCGUCACCUACUGACCCAUUGGUGCCGAAUAUCAUUCCCCCAUUUGACAUUUCCAAUACGCAGUAUCUGUGGAAUUAAAUAAAAGUUGGGGCCUUUUACAAUACAAAAAUAUAGAUGUCCUUUUCAUUUUACGGAUUUCCCUGGCAUUAAUAGAAAAAACAGAAAUUGACAUUUACUAUCACAGUGACUAUAUGAAGAAUAUUAAACUUGUAUACGUUCACAUGGACCGGGUUCUCACAAAAUGAAACGUUCUUUCUAGUUGCAAAUACAAACAGUCCUUUGCACCAUGCAGGUGGUAGACCUAAAGUAUAUUUUUAUACAAUUGCAAAUAACAUUGUGCCAUAGAUUGGUAAAACAAAUAACAAAUCAAGCUAACAUUAAGUGAAUUUCCCUGCCAUAAAAUAAUUGGUUCACACAAAUAAUGCUCUUUCCUUAAAUACAUUUUAUCAGUUGCAAAUAAAAAUCAGUCCUGCACCAUUCACUUGGUAAAUCCAGUCGUCAUCAAGCUAGGCAUCAGUGCAAAUUUCCCUUCCAUUUAACAAAGCCUUGGCUCCCGCAAAGUAUGCACUUUUCCCCUCUUUCCUUGCCCUCUCAAUCAUCGGCCACAGACGAUUCCGAGCUUCUUUGUCAACUGCUCGGGUUGUUGUUCUUUAAAUAGUCAUUUUUCUUUGCACUUUUCCAUGUCAGAUCCCUCGCUGUCCUGGAGAUUAAUUUCAUGAUCACUGGUCGUGGUGGCUGGUUCUCCCCAUCUCUCAGCCUACCCAGGCACUGCACUACAUCCAGAGAACCUGCAACAACAUUUUGCUCGUCCUCCGGGACUAUUGCCCUGCAAAUGUCCUUCACUUUUGUUUUGAUGUUCUCGUCAGAUCUUUCUGUGAUUCCAUAAAUUCGAAGAUUCCAUCUCCGACUAUACCGGUCAGUCUUGUUUACUCCAUUUCAGUGAGUUUCUUCUCCUGAUUUGCAACCUGAGUUUUCAAUGUUGCGUUCUGCUGCUUCAGAGUAUUUACUUCCUCAGCAUUGAAAUCAAUCGCUUUCCUCAGGUUAACGAUGCUGAGUGUUCUUUUUAACCAAGUCCAUGAUGUCAGCUGCACUCUUUGAUUUUAGCCGCGAGGAUGCGGACGAUGUUGUCCUGUAGCUGCCUCAGUGAUGGUUCACUUCUCAACUUCUUUGGAAGUUGCUCCUUGGUUGGGGUAUUAGGGUAUGAAUCACAUUCACCCCCAGUUUUACACUGCAAGCAUAUGAAUGAGUUUCAGCAAUGCCUCUUUUCUCCUUGGACGUUUCAACAUCCAUUAUCUCAGCAACAGUUUGGUUAUGUCCUGACUCCAUGCUGCUAGCUAUGAAGAUGUUAGCGAGCUAACGUUAGCUAACUUUGAUAGUUAGCUUGUUCUUUGGAAAUCGUCCCCAAAAGGUAUUUCAGUGGCUUGAUUAAUUACAAAAUGUAUAUGUAUGUACAUAUCAUUUUCCCACGUUUUGUUGUUACAGUUUGAAUUUCAAAUGUAUUAAAUUGAGAUUGUGUCACUGACCUAGACACAAUACCCCAUAAUUUCAAAGUAUAAUUAUGUUUUUCAACAUUUUUACAAAUAAAUAAAAAGCUGAAAUGUCUUGCAUCAACCCCUUUUGUUAUGGCAAGUAAGUUCAGGAGUAAAUUGCUGAACUCACUGUGUGCUAAUAGUUAACAUGAUUUUUUUUUUUAAUGACUACCUCAUCUCUGUACCCUAUGUGACAGGUUAAAGGACAUAUUCAUAGCCUGUUAUACAUUGAAAAGUAUUAGUAAGUUCAUAGUAUGUGAGGAUCUUAAAACAUCUAAGGUUAAAAAGAUGCAUUCAGUAUUAGUUGAUAGAGAUUGAUAACAUUCAUAUAAUUGUGUUAAAGUUCAAAUCUGUCAAAGGGUACGAAUUGUGAGAGUAAUGUGUAAACGUUAUAUUGAUUACUUUAUUUUGUGGUGCCUAAAAGUUUUAAUCUGUGAUCUACGAAAUGCUCUUAAGCUAAUGAGCCGGAGAUCGAUUGCUCUGGUCUCCACGCAUAUUCCUGGGGAAAUUCGCGGUCUUUUCUCAUUGAACUAAAUGUUGACUUGAGAAUACAACACCGUAUCACUCUCGUGAUUAUUUCUCCCCUGUUUUCAGGUACUUUAUUGAUGAUAAAAAUAGUAAUUUAAAUGUUAUAACUAGCGAACAUGUCAAGAGUGUUUAAGGUGUGUUUUAGUAACGUCUUGAGGAAGUUAGAGUUAAGUUUGAAGAGAGUAAUAUUAGCCCUGCUCGGUUGAAGUGAAGGAUAGCGUCGUACUGAGAGUAGCUGCCAUUUUAUGUCGAUUGUGAAUGAACAUGCGUGUUGUUAAUAAGAUAUUUUGCUGUGUUAUUUGUAUAACGAGUUUUCUGUUAUGUAAUGUUACUUUUGUGAAAUGAUUGAACUAAAUGUUGACUUGAGAAUACAA
Long non-coding RNA from Oncorhynchus keta (chum salmon), 9451 nucleotides. RefSeq lists it as uncharacterized. The record is from RefSeq and is a predicted model, not a curated record. NCBI's taxonomy places the organism in Eukaryota, Metazoa, Chordata, Actinopteri, Salmoniformes, Salmonidae. The transcript is spliced from 2 exons.